This 374-nucleotide ribosomal RNA is filed under the name uncultured eukaryote. RNAcentral describes it as "partial 18S ribosomal RNA". It matches the Rfam family "Eukaryotic small subunit ribosomal RNA", at positions 592 to 976 of the family's 1831-position model. The record is from RNAcentral.
CAAGAGCGUAUGUAAAAGUUGUUGCAGUUAAAAAGCUCGUAGUUGAACCUUGGGUUUGGUUGGCCGGUCCGCUUUUUUGCGAGUACUGGCUUCAACCGAGCCUUUCCUUCUGGCUAACCAGUCGUUUCGGCGGCUGGCGAACCAGGAUUUUUACUUUGAGAAAAUUAGAGUGUUCAAAGCAGGCAUUAGCUUGAAUAUAUUAGCAUGGAAUAAUAGAAUAGGACGUUAUGGUUCUAUUUUGUUGGUUUCUAGGACCAUCGUAAUGAUUAAUAGGGACGGUCGGGGGCAUCAGUAUUCAGUUGUCAGAGGUGAAAUUCUUGGAUUUACUGAAGACUAACUACUGCGAAAGCAUUUGCCAAGGACGUUUUCAUUAA